This 497-nucleotide ribosomal RNA is filed under the name uncultured bacterium. Its description in RNAcentral is "partial 16S ribosomal RNA". It matches the Rfam family "Bacterial small subunit ribosomal RNA", at positions 28 to 507 of the family's 1533-position model. The record is from RNAcentral.
GAUGAACGCUGGCGGCGUGCCUAAUACAUGCAAGUCGAGCGAACAGACGAGGAGCUUGCUCCUUUGACGUUAGCGGCGGACGGGUGAGUAACACGUGGGUAACCUACCUAUAAGACUGGGAUAACUUCGGGAAACCGGAGCUAAUACCGGAUAAUAUUUCGAACCGCAUGGUUCGAUAGUGAAAGAUGGCUUUGCUAUCACUUAUAGAUGGACCUGCGCCGUAUUAGCUAGUUGGUAAGGUAACGGCUUACCAAGGCAACGAUACGUAGCCGACCUGAGAGGGUGAUCGGCCACACUGGAACUGAGACACGGUCCAGACUCCUACGGGAGGCAGCAGUAGGGAAUCUUCCGCAAUGGGCGAAAGCCUGACGGAGCAACGCCGCGUGAGUGAUGAAGGUCUUCGGAUCGUAAACCUCUGUUAUUAGGGAAGAACAAACGUGUAAGUAACUGUGCACGUCUUGACGGUACCUAAUCAGAAAGCCACGGCUAACUACGUG